GAAUUGACGGGACCCGCACAAGCGGUGGAUGAUGUGGAUUAAUUCGAUGCAACGCGAAAAACCUUACCUACCCUUGACAUGUCCGGAAUCCCGAAGAGAUUUGGGAGUGCUCGAAAGAGAACCUGCACACAGGUGCUGCAUGGCUGUCGUCAGCUCGUGUCGUGAGAUGUUGGGUUAAGUCCCGCAACGAGCGCAACCCUUGCCAUUAGUUGCUACGAAAGGGCACUCUAAUGGGACUGCCGGUGACAAACCGGAGGAAGGUGGGGAUGACGUCAAGUCCUCAUGGCCCUUAUAGGUGGGGCUACACACGUCAUACAAUGGCCGGUACAGAGGGUAGCCAACCCGCGAGGGGGAGCCAAUCCCACAAAGCCGGUCGUAGUCCGGAUCGCAGUCUGCAACUCGACUGCGUGAAGUCGGAAUCGCUAGUAAUCGCGGAUCAGCAUGUCGCGGUGAAUACGUUCCCGGGUCUU
This 470-nucleotide ribosomal RNA is filed under the name uncultured Allobrachymonas sp. RNAcentral's name for it is "bacterial SSU rRNA". It matches the Rfam family "Bacterial small subunit ribosomal RNA", at positions 907 to 1382 of the family's 1533-position model. The record is from RNAcentral. Lineage: Bacteria; Pseudomonadati; Pseudomonadota; Betaproteobacteria; Burkholderiales; Comamonadaceae.